This 253-nucleotide ribosomal RNA is filed under the name uncultured bacterium. Its description in RNAcentral is "partial 16S ribosomal RNA". It matches the Rfam family "Bacterial small subunit ribosomal RNA", at positions 524 to 776 of the family's 1533-position model. The record is from RNAcentral.
UACGAAGGGGCCGAGCGUUGUUCGGAAUUACUGGGCGUAAAGCGCACGCAGGUGGCUUUAUAAGUCAGGGGUGAAAUCCCGGGGCUCAACCUCGGAAUUGCCCUUGAUACUGUCUAUCUUGAGUCCGGGAGAGGUGAGUGGAACUCCUAGUGUAGAGGUGAAAUUCGUAGGUAUUAGGAAGAACACCAGUGGCGAAGGCGGCUCACUGUCCCGGUACUGACGCUCAUGUGCGAAAGCGUGGGGAGCAAACAGG